AUAAAAAAGAACAUUCCUCUGUUAAGCUAGCUUUCUUGAUAGGAAAGAUUACAGAAAUCAAAUGGAAAAAGAAAGAACAAGAAGCAAGCAAUGAAACGUGAUUCAGCGAGUGGCUUAGAAGCAAGACUCGUUAGAGUUGUAACAAUUCAUGGCUGCUUAACAUACCUCCAUAAUUUCCAAUGGAAGAAAGUCUUUGCCAACUAAGAAACAUGGAAACACAAAAUUGUCAACUAAAUGUUGAAGGUUGAACUCAAAUGAAUGGUUCAGAAAAUCCAAUUCAUAAAUACUCACAAUAACCAGAUGUUGAGGAACUGGCCAAAAAAUUAUUCAUUUUAAAGGAUAUUAGAUAACAGAGGAAGAUGGAAAAGAAUUGAAACUCAGGAAUCUGUUUUCCCAACCUGAUAUUCGUUAUUGUGAAUUGGAGUAUCAUUUGCCACAUAGCACCUUAGAGCAUAUCUGCUGGCUUCUCCGACAUUCGGCUGCAAGAUGGCCAGCCUGACCACUGGGUGGCUCAGUAAACAUGACUAGCUGUGUCAUGACUCAUGAGACAAAUAAAUUUUUAGAAUCUUCCAAAAGGAAAGUGAGUUGGAACCCAGAAGUAGAUUUAUAUAGAAUUACCGACUAACCUCUCAAUACUGAGAACAGCAUAAUCGAAUAUACGUUCUGAUUAUCAUAAACCAGAAUUCUAUGUGGGACUCAUCAAUCUAAACAGAGCCAAAAAUACUGGGCAGGAAGAUCAAAGGCCUAAAACCAAUUAUAAAGGGGGGAAAACUCAGACCAUAUAGACAAUGCCGUCUGUUUGGUUACUACACAAGAAAGGAAUUUGUCCACUCUUAGAAGGGAAUGAGCUGUGAUUCAACCUCAUCUGUAUACAAUAUUGAAGUGCAAUUGAGAGCAUACCUAGAGGAAAAAUUGGUGCCAAGAGUGAUGAUGUUAGG
Molecule: long non-coding RNA, 938 nt
Filed under: Manihot esculenta (cassava)
Lineage: Eukaryota; Viridiplantae; Streptophyta; Magnoliopsida; Malpighiales; Euphorbiaceae
Description: long non-coding RNA (MESC_LNC002779)
Source: RNAcentral